CUGGUUCUGGUUUAGGUCCAGGUCCAGGUUCUGGUUCAGGUCUGGGUUUAGGUUUGGGUUUGGGUUCAGGUUCUGGUUCUGGUUCUGGACUCCCCAUAAUGGAGCUGCACCACCUGCAACACAACGGGGUCAAGGCUCUGGGUCUGGUUCUGGUUCGGGUUCUGGUUUGGGUUCUGGUUUAGGUUCUGGUUCAGGUUCUGGUUCUGGUUUAGGUUCUGGUUUAGGUUCUGGUUCUGGUUUAGGUUCUGGUUCUGGUUCUGGUUUAGGUUCUGGUUUAUGUUCUGGUUCUGGUUUAGGUUCUGAUUCUGGUUUAGGUCCAGGUCCAGGCUCUGGUUCAGGUCUGGGUUUAGGUUUGGGUUCAGGUUCUGGUUCUGGUUCUGGACUCCCCAUAACGGAGCUGCACCACCUGCAACACAACGGGGUCAAGGCUCUGGGUCUGGUUCUGGUUCGGGUUCUGGUUU
This 461-nucleotide long non-coding RNA is filed under the name Coturnix japonica (Japanese quail). RNAcentral's name for it is "lncRNA (ENSCJPG00005000888.1)". Lineage: Eukaryota; Metazoa; Chordata; Aves; Galliformes; Phasianidae. The record is from RNAcentral.